Molecule: ribosomal RNA, 301 nt
Filed under: uncultured bacterium
Lineage: Bacteria
Description: partial 16S ribosomal RNA
Rfam family: Bacterial small subunit ribosomal RNA
Source: RNAcentral
CAGUCGCCGCGGGAAUACGGAGGGUGCAAGCGUUAAUCGGAAUUACUGGGCGUAAAGCGCACGCAGGCGGUCUGACAAGUCAGAUGUGAAAUCCCCGGGCUUAACCUGGGAACUGCAUUUGAAACUGUCAGGCUGGAGUCUUGUAGAGGGGGGUGGAAUUCCAGGUGUAGCGGUGAAAUGUGUAGAGAUCUGGAGGAAUACCGGUGGCGAAGGCGGCCCCCUGGACAAAGACUGACGCUCAGGUGCGAAAGCGUGGGGAGCAAACAGGAUUAGAUACCCGGUAGUCCCUGUCUCUUAUACA